CUCGUAGGCGGCCAACUAAGUCAGACGUGAAAUCCCUCAGCUUAACUGGGGAACUGCGUCUGAUACUGGAUGGCUUGGAUUCGGGAGAGGGAUGCGGAAUUCCAGGUGUAGCGGUGAAAUGCGUAGAUAUCUGGAGGAACACCGGUGGCGAAGGCGGCAUCCUGGACCGAUAUUGACGCUGAGGAGCGAAAGCCAGGGGAGCAAACA
RNAcentral lists this ribosomal RNA (207 nucleotides) under uncultured bacterium. RNAcentral's name for it is "partial 16S ribosomal RNA". It matches the Rfam family "Bacterial small subunit ribosomal RNA", at positions 568 to 774 of the family's 1533-position model. The record is from RNAcentral.